AUUGAACGCUGGCGGCAUGCCUAACACAUGCAAGUCGAGCGGAUGAAGGGAGCUUGCUCCUGGAUUCAGCGGCGGACGGGUGAGUAAUGCCUAGGAAUCUGCCUGGUAUUUGGGGAUAACGUCCGGAAACGGGCGCUAAUACCGCAUACGUCCUGAUGUAGAAAGGGGGGGAUCUUUGGACCACACGCGAUCAGAUGAGCCUAGGUCGGAUUAGCUAGCUGGUGGGGUAAGGGCCUACCAAGGCGACGAUCCGUAACUGGCCUGAGAGGCUGAUCAGUCACACUGGAACUGAGACACGGUCCAGACUCCUACGGGAGGCAGCAGUGGGGAAUAUUGCACAAUGGGCGAAAGCCUGACCCAGCAAUGCCGCGUGUGUGAAGAAGGUCUUCGGAUCGUAAAGCACUUUUAGUAGGGAAGAACAGCAGUAAGUGAAUAUAUUGCUGUCUUGACGGUACCAAAACAAUAAGCCACGGCUAACUUCGUG
Molecule: ribosomal RNA, 484 nt
Filed under: uncultured bacterium
Lineage: Bacteria
Description: partial 16S ribosomal RNA
Rfam family: Bacterial small subunit ribosomal RNA
Source: RNAcentral